UUCUUUGCCUGCCCAGAGUUCCAG
This 24-nucleotide non-coding RNA is filed under the name Rattus norvegicus (Norway rat). Lineage: Eukaryota; Metazoa; Chordata; Mammalia; Rodentia; Muridae. The record is from RNAcentral.